CCGUGCCCAACGAGAUCGGGAUAACACCUGGAAACAGAUGCUAAUACCGGAUAACAACAGAUGAUGCCUAUCAACUGUUUAAAAGAUGGUUCUGCUAUCACUCUUGGAUGGACCUGCGGUGCAUUAGCUAGUUGGUAGGGUAACGGCCUACCAAGGCGAUGAUGCAUAGCCGAGUUGAGAGACUGAUCGGCCACAUUGGGACUGAGACACGGCCCAAACUCCUACGGGAGGCAGCAGCC
This 239-nucleotide ribosomal RNA is filed under the name uncultured Lactobacillus sp. RNAcentral describes it as "partial 16S ribosomal RNA". It matches the Rfam family "Bacterial small subunit ribosomal RNA", at positions 125 to 355 of the family's 1533-position model. Lineage: Bacteria; Bacillati; Bacillota; Bacilli; Lactobacillales; Lactobacillaceae. The record is from RNAcentral.